This 505-nucleotide ribosomal RNA is filed under the name uncultured bacterium. Its description in RNAcentral is "partial 16S ribosomal RNA". It matches the Rfam family "Bacterial small subunit ribosomal RNA", at positions 29 to 523 of the family's 1533-position model. The record is from RNAcentral.
AACGAACGCUGGCGGCGCGUUUUAAGCAUGCAAGUCGAACGGUAGGCGGGGGCAACUCCGCUGAGAGUGGCGCACGGGUGAGUAACACGUAGGUGAUCUACCCUGGGAUUGGGGAUAGCCCAUGGAAACAUGGGGUAAUACCGAAUGAGCUCUUUUGGUCAUGGCCGAAAGAGGAAAGGCGCGGGUGCGCCGACCUGGGAUGAGCCUGCGGCCUAUUAGCUAGUUGGCGGGGUAAAGGCCCACCAAGGCUACGACGGAUACCUGGUCUGAGAGGACGAUCAGGCACACUGGAACUGAGACACGGUCCAGACACCUACGGGUGGCAGCAGUCGAGAAUAAUUCGCAAUGGGGGCAACCCUGAUGGUGCAACGCCGCGUGGAGGAUGAAGGUCUUCGGAUUGUAAACUCCUGUCAUCCGGGAGCAAGACCUGACGGUUAACAGCCGGCAGGGUUGAUAGUACCGGAAGAGGAAGGGACGGCUAACUUCGUGCCAGCCGCCGCCGUAA